GGCAUAUAGCUCAAUUGGUAGAGGGCUUGCCUGUCAUGCACAAGGCCCUGGGUUCAAUCCCCAGCACCA
RNAcentral lists this transfer RNA (69 nucleotides) under Marmota monax (woodchuck). Its description in RNAcentral is "tRNA.Asp". The record is from RNAcentral. Lineage: Eukaryota; Metazoa; Chordata; Mammalia; Rodentia; Sciuridae.